This is a long non-coding RNA of Pogoniulus pusillus (Red-fronted tinkerbird), 611 nucleotides long. RefSeq lists it as uncharacterized. NCBI's taxonomy places the organism in Eukaryota, Metazoa, Chordata, Aves, Piciformes, Lybiidae. The transcript has 3 exons. The record is from RefSeq and is a predicted model, not a curated record.
CACCAGGGGUGCUGACCGCAGACGCUAACCAGCCUGAGCAGCUGCCAGACUGGAGGCAAGAAGCGCAGAUGCAGGCUCUCGCCCGUUCCCAGGAGCUAGUGGCACAGGUGUUCCUCGUUAAGUGGUAGGCAUUCGGUGCCAGGGAGCUCACAAGCAAAGCCUUCAGCCCUGGCAGCCCACGGGACGCGUGUGCUUCGGAGCCUGGAUGGGGUUAGGACAAGGCAGAGGACGUCCUGCAUUCAGCCCCGCUAAUGCAGCUACGCUCUCAAUCAAAAGUGCUCAAGCAGCUUCAGAAAGCGGAGGAAGAAACAACCCUGAGUGGCCAAGGUUGAUGAUCAUACAGAAACCACCACAGAGUCAACUGGGACACUGAGAUGCAAUUCUUUUAUUGGCUGCCCCUGUAGCUUGGCUUAUCACCAGCAAGAAGCACAGCACAGUGUUAGAGCUACAUGGGGUUAAAACCACACAAUGUUGAGAAGAUGAGGGAAAAGAGGAUGGGAAGGUGAUGGUAGAGAAGAUGAAGGAAAAGAGGAUGGGAAGGCAAUGGUAGAGAAGAUGAAGGAAAAGAGGAUGGAAAGGCGAUGGUAGAGAAGAUGAAGGAAAAGAGGAUG